This 253-nucleotide ribosomal RNA is filed under the name uncultured bacterium. RNAcentral's name for it is "partial 16S ribosomal RNA". It matches the Rfam family "Bacterial small subunit ribosomal RNA", at positions 524 to 776 of the family's 1533-position model. The record is from RNAcentral.
UACGUAGGGGGCAAGCGUUGUCCGGAAUCAUUGGGCGUAAAGCGCGUGUAGGCGGCUGAGUAAGUCUGCUCUGAAAGCCCGGGGCUCAACCCCGGGAGGCGGGUGGAUACUGCUCAGCUCGAGUCCGGAAGAGGAGUGUGGAAUUCCUGGUGUAGCGGUGAAAUGCGCAGAUAUCAGGAGGAACACCAAUGGCGAAGGCAGCACUCUGGGACGGUACUGACGCUGGGACGCGAAAGCGUGGGGAGCAAACAGG